Molecule: unclassified non-coding RNA, 278 nt
Filed under: Hevea brasiliensis (rubber tree)
Lineage: Eukaryota; Viridiplantae; Streptophyta; Magnoliopsida; Malpighiales; Euphorbiaceae
Source: RNAcentral
GCUCUGUAAGCCUUCCCGGUCUCACCUUCAAUUGCAACUUCAUGCCAGCGGAUCUCUUCAGGCUUAAAAGUUAACCUCCAUUUUAAGGUUUCUUCCAACAUCUUCUUUGAUUUCUCAACAUUCCAGUUCCGCGCUUCCAAAUAUCUCCUUAAACAUGCAUCACUGCAGUACUGUAAAUCACGUCCUGAUAGUGGCGCGCCCAAGGAAGUCCUAAGUUCCUUAACCUUAUGUGGUUGAUCCUCACCCUCCUGUUCACUAUGGGGAUGGCUCUUGCGACG